Molecule: small nucleolar RNA, 85 nt
Organism: Chelonoidis abingdonii (Abingdon island giant tortoise)
Lineage: Eukaryota; Metazoa; Chordata; Testudines; Testudinidae
Source: Ensembl
UGAUGACACUUUCUCCGGAAUCUCUGUAGUCUCUGUGAUGACUGUAUUGAACCCUUUUCCAGCUGAUGACUGUAGUGGCUUCACU